Molecule: ribosomal RNA, 482 nt
Filed under: uncultured bacterium
Lineage: Bacteria
Description: partial 16S ribosomal RNA
Rfam family: Bacterial small subunit ribosomal RNA
Source: RNAcentral
AGUGAACGUUGGCGGCGUGGAUUAGGCAUGCGAGUCGAGCGAGAACCGUAGCAAUACGGGGACAGCGGCGAAAGAGACAGUAAUAUGUAGGUACCUACCCUCGGGUCCGGGAUAGCUGCGGGAAACUGCAGGUAAUACCGGAUGACAUCUCCGGAUCAAAGGUGUGAUUCCGCCCGGGGAGGGGCCUGCAUCCUAUUAGCUUGUUGGUGGGGUAACGGCCUACCAAGGCGACGAUGGGUAGCGGGUGUGAGAGCAUGACCCGCGUCAUUGGGACUGAGACACUGCCCAGACACCUACGGGUGGCUGCAGUCGAGAAUCUUCGGCAAUGGGGGCAACCCUGACCGAGCGACGCCGCGUGCGGGAUGAAGGCCUUCGGGGUGUAAACCGCUGUCGUAGAGGAGGAAAUGCAGGGGGGUUCUCCCCUCUGUUUGACCUAUUCUAGGAGGAAGGACGGGCUAAGUUCGUGCCAGCCGCCGCCGUAA